AUUGAACGCUGGCGGCAGGCCUAACACAUGCAAGUCGAACGGUAACAGGAAGAAGCUUGCUUCUUUGCUGACGAGUGGCGGGCGGGUGAGUAAUGUCUGGGAAACUGCCUGAUGGAGGGGGAUAACUACUGGAAACGGUAGCUAAUACCGCAUAACGUCGCAAGACCAAAGAGGGGGACCUUCGGGCCUCUUGCCAUCGGAUGUGCCCAGAUGGGAUUAGCUAGUAGGUGGGGUAACGGCUCACCUAGGCGACGAUCCCUAGCUGGUCUGAGAGGAUGACCAGCCACACUGGAACUGAGACACGGUCCAGACUCCUGCGGGAGGCAGCAGUGGGGAAUAUUGCACAAUGGGCGCAAGCCUGAUGCAGCCAUGCCGCGUGUAUGAAGAAGGCCUUCGGGUUGUAAAGUACUUUCAGCGGGGAGGAAGGGAGUAAAGUUAAUACCUUUGCUCAUUGACGUUACCCGCAGAAGAAGCACCGGCUAACUCCGUG
RNAcentral lists this ribosomal RNA (490 nucleotides) under uncultured bacterium. RNAcentral describes it as "partial 16S ribosomal RNA". It matches the Rfam family "Bacterial small subunit ribosomal RNA", at positions 30 to 507 of the family's 1533-position model. The record is from RNAcentral.